Molecule: ribosomal RNA, 29 nt
Filed under: Capsicum annuum
Lineage: Eukaryota; Viridiplantae; Streptophyta; Magnoliopsida; Solanales; Solanaceae
Source: RNAcentral
CCCCUGGGAAGAUCUCGUGUUGCUUCCCU